Unclassified non-coding RNA from Papio anubis (olive baboon), 148 nucleotides. It matches the Rfam family "Metazoan signal recognition particle RNA". From Rfam's summary of the family: The signal recognition particle (SRP) is a universally conserved ribonucleoprotein. It is involved in the co-translational targeting of proteins to membranes. NCBI's taxonomy places the organism in Eukaryota, Metazoa, Chordata, Mammalia, Primates, Cercopithecidae. The record is from Ensembl.
GCUGGGCAUGGUGGUGCAUGCCUGUAAUCCCAGCCACUUGGGAGGCUGAGGCAGGAGAAUCGCUUGAACCCAGGAGGUGGAGGUUGCAGUGAGCUGAGAUUGCGCCACUGCACUCCAGCCUGGGUGACAGAGUGAGACUCUGCCUCAA